Molecule: small nuclear RNA, 106 nt
Organism: Cervus hanglu yarkandensis (Yarkand deer)
Lineage: Eukaryota; Metazoa; Chordata; Mammalia; Artiodactyla; Cervidae
Source: Ensembl
UUUAGCAACUAGACCAACAAAUACUAAAAUUGGAAGGAUACAGAGGAGAUUAGCAUGGCCCUUGCACAAGGAUGACAUGCAGAUUUGUGAAGCAUUCCAUAUUUUU